Puntigrus tetrazona (Sumatra barb) is the source of this 4903-nucleotide long non-coding RNA. RefSeq lists it as uncharacterized. The transcript has 4 exons. The record is from RefSeq and is a predicted model, not a curated record. Lineage: Eukaryota; Metazoa; Chordata; Actinopteri; Cypriniformes; Cyprinidae.
CCUGUGUACUUAUAUAGUAACUACAUGUUUGUUACCACAGUGUAAGUACAUUGGUUACUCUUUACAUAAAUUGUGGUUGGUGUCCAGAACGUUACACUUUAUAUUAACUGGACGGUUCCUAACUUGUUACCAUGUGGUUCACCAACUCGAGGUCUGACUCCUCCCACUUCACAAACCCCUAAACCUACUCCUCUCCAGCCCCUGGAUCACAUACCACUUACACACACCAUUCUGAGGACUGUUACAUGUGUGUAGUUACAGAAAUAUUACUGCUGUAGAUACUGUGUACUUACAAUAUGAUUACAUCCUACAUACACAAGUUACUAUGUAAAUACACACAGGUAUUAGGGACACAAUAUAAAGUGGGACCAAAGUAAGUCUUACAGUAUAUAGUAUGAAUGUAAUCCAGAUUUGACUGUAAUCUACAGCGUCAGCUGCUGAGCUUCACUGCUUUUCACAACUCCUCUCCUAUGGCCCCACGAGAUAGACGUCCAUUAAACGUGCGUUCCAGAAUCUCACCCCAAAUAUUAGGUCAUCUGGGUUUUUACCUGCUGUUUUAUAAAUACUGUGAAUCGGGACAUACGUGUUUUUGCUUAAAAACAAAGCAGAAUACAGAAGUUUACUAUACACAACACCUAUUUGUGGACAGCUUUUCUUCCACGCAAAAUAAUCCACAUGCCAACAAAACAAUGGGAACGCAGAACAAUAAUGAUGAUUCACAGCUACAGAGCAUAGGGGCCAAAGCUAUUGUGGAUCCGCUUACCUGAAUCCUCCGUAAUUGGCACAGAUUUGGAGAAAAUUACCACUGUUUAGCGAAUAAUUUACGGACAGUUACACCAACAUUUUAUCAUGUAAGUCCCGUGUUACACCUCAGAUGACAAGGCAGAUUUAUAGUCACAUUGAUAUUUAGCCAGCCAAAGUCAUUCUAUGUAGGCUGCUCAGUAGUUUCUCGCAGUUCACUAGGUUUCAAAACUAUUUCUCGUUGCUCUCGUUCCGUUUCUCUCUCUCUCUCUCUCUCUCUCUUUGUCUGUCUCCUACUCUUCACACCCACAAGCUGGGAUAAUAGCGCUGCGUCUGCAGCUUGGCAAGAUGGAGAGCGUGCGGAGGGAAAGAGGAAGUGCUAAGAGAUCGUGAGGGAGAGGGAGGGCGAGCAAGCCAGAGCAUCUCCAGUGACAUGAUAUUUAGCACAGCCAAAGAUAUCAGAGAGAAGAGGAGGUCGCAAAACUGGAUAUGUUAAUGAGAAGAGGAAGCCUGGAGCUUUGCAAAAGACUGGAAUAUCUGGUCACCAGACGUGCAGUGACUGUGAUGCUGGUGCUCUCAACAGGCCUGCGGGAAAGCUCAAACUGAGGCUCACUCUCCUCCAGGUCGCUGUCCCUCUCCUCUCCACUCUCCUCCAUUGUCUCCUCCGCCUCUCCUCCCUCUCGCUCCUCCUCUACCUCCCCAUUAGUCUGAGGAACCUCGGGGUCGGCCUCUGUCUCCAUCUCCUCCUCGGGUUCUCUGGCAGCCGGAUGUCAUCAACAGGACCUGUAAUGAAAGCCCGGAACAUCCUCUGAGUUUCACAUGACAAACGAGAAGGACGGAGACUGACGUCAUGAAGGGCAAAGCAGAUCAACAAUAUUCAACUGCCAGUGAAAUUAAUACCUCAUUUAUCAUACAGAAGAGGAAGCAAUCUGUCACAAAAGGUGAAUUGGAAGCGUCCCACCUAUCUGAGCGCAUGUUGUUCUAAACUCUACACGCUCUAUUGAAGUGUAUAUUUGCUCAACGCUGACAGAGAUAUUUAUGCCUGAUAUGCGAUCACGUAUUCAAGUGCCAGCAUUUCUACGUGUGGCUAAUGACUGAAGGGGUUCCCACAUGAGCUGGUUAAACUCUGACGCCAUGAUAAGAUCAGAGAACAGAGAUAAAGAAGAGUGAGAACCUGUGAUCAGACAGGAAGGAGGAAAUGACUAGACAUUAGACAUCAGUUCCACUCAUUUGAAUUUAUCAAUAAAUCUAAAAACCCACAAAUUCUCUCUCUUCUUCUCUCAGGCUUAUACUGUGAGCAUAUGCAAAAAGUUGCUUAAUAUUACCCAGGAGACAAAUUACGUUUCAGUCCAGGUGUGCACAUUCAAAAGCUCUCGUCAUUGCACAACAAUAUUCGACAUUACUGGAAGAGCAAUUUUAGAAUUUCCUUUGGAUACUUUAUCUGUUGGUUAAAAAAAACAUCUUGGGCAAUGAUUCAUUUCUCAAUGACUGGACUGUGUGAGUAAAUACGUGCAUGGAUAAAACAGUUUAAGAGCGUGGCAUGACAUUGUUCACUGAGGGAAAAAAAGAGAGAUAAUGGUGAACAUGGCAGUUGUCCUAACCGUCCAAAACAAAGGAACGAGGAGUCUUUUAAAGACCAGGGACGCACAGUGAUAAACAGCUAAUCUGAAGAGAUGCAGAGUUCAGUUUGACACAAAACAGGCUUCGCGUGAAGAUAUGUGAGGGGAAAAGUUUAAAGAACGCUUACAAAUAGACAAGAAAAUCACACUAAAGGGAGUCUUCAAAUGGGAACAUUUACAAAUAAGCGUUUCCAAGUUUAAUUUCUCAACUGAGAACAGUAUAAAAGCAAAAUAAACAGUGCCACUGAAACAAAGUCUGACAGAGAAAUCUCACAAGAAGGAGAUUCUGACCACCACAGAAGAAACAACUCGUUUUGGUUACAUUCCUUACAAAUGGUCAACUAAAUAAAAUAAGCUACAAAUUAACUUUGAAGUGGAAGUAAGCUACUUCCUAUAAAUGUGUGAGACUUCUUAUUCAUUAAACCCUUUAGACCUUAGUCAUAGUAGUGUCAUGUUUAAUUGUUAACGGGAAUGAAACCAAGGCUGUGAGGGAUACAAGUACAGAGCAGUCAAAAUAUUCUACUGUUUAACAACAUACCAACUCCCUGCAGACCAAAACCCCAUAAAACUCUUUUGAAUGUUUUAAGUUUCACAGUGCACGCCAUUCUACAAGUCUACCCCUCACAGAUUUGCUUUCAUCAGUGUUAAAUUCAAUAUGGCAUUGAACCUAAUCAAGGUCAAUGGGUAAAUAACCAAAAGAUUAAGAGUGCACUAAACGAUAAAACGGCAUCCAGUAUACAAAACUCUACUGCUCUACAAACCACUGUUCUUAUGGCUCUAACAUAACCAAUACCAAAGAAACAGAUUUUUGUGCAAAUAAAUUAAAUGAAAGAGCAAAUGCCAUUUUACUCCAUUUAAGAAAUAAUACUAAUGCUUGUAUAACGUUUAGAAGAAUUCUAAACUAACAUGUUGCGAGUCUAAAACCUACAGAAAUGGUCUCUGAAUCCUUCUCUCUCCACCUCAACCAGCUCACUUUACUAACCUCUGAUCUAUCUCAUGUAAACACACACAGUGCUGUACUAUUGAUUUCUUCUCAGUGCUGGCUGCAGACUGACUGUAUGAUAGACAGCAAUGAAGCUGAACGAAAGCUGGGAGAGGAGGACUAGGGACACAUGCCGCCCCAGGAGAGAGGCUUCUGGCUGGGCUGAAGUGGGCCGAUGAGGGGUGGGGGUGUAUUUCUCAUCACACACUGGGGGCUUAUCAGCAGAUAACACACACCGACCAAUACAGUGAGCAAACAAAAAAAAAAAGACAUUUUACCUUUAUUAAAAACAACAGCAAUGAUGAAUAAAUAGAAAUGAACCAAUCUUUUGUUAGCCUUUUCUUAAUUUUUUUCCAUUAUGUAAUACAUAUAACACUCUACAAUCAAAGAUAAUUGCGUAACUAUGCAGAGAUUGAAUUCUGGUGGGAUAGAAUUCCCCUGGUUGGGAAAAAAAAAAAAAAACAAAAGCUCUCUGUAAAAUUACCAUCCCUUUGGAUUAUUUAUGUAGUGUUUUAAGUAAAUUAUGUAACUAUGCAUCAGGCAAAUAAAAUGUAAAAAUCCUCUAAUUAUGACAAUUUGUGAACUAAAAAGUGCCCAUUGGCCAAUUAGAAAUUGGUACUUUUACAAGCUGUGCAUAUGCUUAAAUCUUUUAUUUUUCUUGCAAAGAGGUUCUUUAAAACGAAGAUAACAGACGGUCUGAAUUUAAAGACAUUCCCGUGACAGUGUUAUUGUAAUGCAUGUGUGACAGGGACUUAAAGAUGACAGAAGUGCUCACAUUAUCGAGUAGCCUAUAUGUCAAGUCCAGCUUUGCAAUAGUCCAAAAGCAUUCACUGUUCAAUGAAGCCUAUUCAAAAGCAGUCAGAAUGCACUUGUAAUUAUAUUAAAAGAUCUCGUUUUUAUAUUUACUGCACGAGCAAUGUUUUGCACAUGUGCAUGAGUACAAAUGUUAUUUAUCGAGGCGUAACCAGCCACGGUGCCGGCCCAAAAACACAUUCAGCUAAAUAUGGUUUCAUUAUUAACAGUAUUGACCAACAUUCUUCUAUUUCAGUCCCCAUAAGAUAAAAAACUAUUAUAAAUAAUAAUUCAUUUGAUAAGGCAAACUCUCAAUAUAACAAAAAACUAAUUUUGUAGCCUUUGUCUAAAAUUAGCCAAUGUAAAAGUACAUGUAUUCAUACCAAAACAUUUCAGUACAAGUAUUUCAGUUUGGUAGGCAAGUGUACCAAAAUUAUUUUUUUACAUUUUUCAGUAAAUUCAAACAAUAAAUGCCACAUUUUGGCACUUUACAAUGUGGUGACAGAUGACUAACUAGUGUUAACAUAAAAUAAAUAUGAAUGAAAUUAAGUCUAGCGUAUUUUGAGAAAUAUUACAUAUUUCAUUAUAUUUCACUUACCUCUUAGUGAUGUCUUAAUGUAUGUAUAAAUAGGUAGAUAGGAGAGCCAAAUGAAUAUAUUUCAACAACAAACAGUGAGCAAUGAUUAUUAGAUUUAAAAAUAAACAGUAGCCUAAUUGAUCUGAGUUUGGUUUGGGAUCUGUUGUUAACUGUAACCAAAAUAGAGCAGAA